RNAcentral lists this ribosomal RNA (694 nucleotides) under Sceloporus gadsdeni (Lagoon spiny lizard). Its description in RNAcentral is "partial 12S ribosomal RNA". It matches the Rfam family "Bacterial small subunit ribosomal RNA", at positions 9 to 1199 of the family's 1533-position model. Lineage: Eukaryota; Metazoa; Chordata; Lepidosauria; Squamata; Phrynosomatidae. The record is from RNAcentral.
CAUAGUUUUGGUCCUAAACUUACUGCUACUUUUAAUCAAAUUUACACAUGCAAGCAUCCACACACCAGUGAAAUACGCCCUAACACAGUAUAAAUGGAGCAGGUAUCAGGCACAACCGCCAGCCAAAAACACCAAGCUUUGCCACACCCACACGGGCCCUCAGCAGUGAUAAACAUUAAGCAAUAAGCGAACACACCAAACUAAAGCUUGACUUAGUUAUGAUUAACAGGGCCGGUAAACCUCGUGCCAGCCACCGCGGUUACACGGCGGGCCCAAAGCAGCAGACUCUCGGCGUAAAUAGUGGCCAGAAUAAUUACCCCCACAUUAAAAACUAAACCAUACCCUAACCGUAAAACACAGGCUAAAUGAAAUCAAGCACUUUUAAUAACAGGUAAUUUGACCCACGAAAACUAAGAAACAAACUAGGAUUAGAUACCCUACUAUGCUUAGUCGUUAAUAUGAUAUUAUAGUACUAAAAUAUCCGCCAGAAAACUACGAGCGAAAAGCUUAAAACUCAAAGGACUUGGCGGUGCUCCAUACCGACUUAGAGGAGCCUGUCCUAUAAUCGAUACCCCACGCUAAACCCCACCAAUCUUUGCCAUACCAGCCUAUAUACCGCCGUCGUCAACCCACCUCAUGAGAGAAAAACAGUGAGUACAAAAGUUCAAUAACUAAAACGUCAGGUCAAGGUGUA